RNAcentral lists this long non-coding RNA (645 nucleotides) under Homo sapiens (human). RNAcentral's name for it is "non-protein coding lnc-CRYBA4-52:63". The record is from RNAcentral. Lineage: Eukaryota; Metazoa; Chordata; Mammalia; Primates; Hominidae.
CUUUCCUACGCUAAAAACCACUGAGUGGAGUAUUUAGUACACAGGAAGUCGGCCAGAGAAACAUUUCUCAUAUUUGAAGGCCGGAAAGAGGGACAUUUCUGACACCGGAAGUCAGUGAGAGGACUCUUUCCCACACAGGAAGUCAGCUAGAGAGCCGUCUCCCCUCUCUGGAGCCGAGAGAGGCCGGUUUCCCCCACCAUAGCAGGGCUGGGAGAAAGGGAUGGGGAGAGUCCCUCCUGCCACUGACCCAGGAUGGAUAAAAGUACCCCUUUCAUAGAAGGAAGAAAAUGGGAACAAAGGUGCUGCUGAUCAUCUGAGGUUGCCUGCAUGGCAGUGAAGAACAUGGACCUUUGGGUAGCCCACCUGGGAGGAAUUUUCCAGAGAUCACUGUCUGAUGACCCUGUCUUGGAAUUGGAGCCAUGCAAGUUACACUGACCACGUUUGGGUUGGGAUAUUGAGGAGGUUAUGGUUAAAAGCAUACGAUGGGAGAUCAUAUUGUACUUGCGAGUGAGACCCGGCUGGAGGAAUGUUUUAAUUCUUCGGAAAUACCAAGUGGUCUCUGUCUCACAUGAGUACUUCACAAUGGGGAAACUGAACUGGAACUCUACUGACAACGCAGUUGGGAGUUCAAACUUAAUAACCUUC